Molecule: ribosomal RNA, 126 nt
Filed under: Gephyromantis aff. leucomaculatus 'Betampona'
Lineage: Eukaryota; Metazoa; Chordata; Amphibia; Anura; Mantellidae
Description: partial 16S ribosomal RNA
Source: RNAcentral
AACGGCAUCACGAGGGUUCCACUGUCUCCUUUUUCUAAUCAGUGAAAUUAAUCCCCCCGUGAAGAAGCGGGGAUAAACCUAUAAGACGAGAAGACCCCAUGGAGCUUUAAACCUAGCUGCACACCC